UACGGAGGGGGCUAGCGUUGUUCGGAAUUACUGGGCGUAAAGCGCACGUAGGCGGCUUUGUAAGUUAGAGGUGAAAGCCCGGGGCUCAACUCCGGAAUUGCCUUUAAGACUGCAUCGCUAGAAUUGUGGAGAGGUAAGUGGAAUUCCGAGUGUAGAGGUGAAAUUCGUAGAUAUUCGGAAGAACACCAGUGGCGAAAGCGAUCACCUGGGGUUAUUCUGACGCUGAGGAGCGAAAGCUAGGGGAGCAAACGGG
This 253-nucleotide ribosomal RNA is filed under the name uncultured prokaryote. RNAcentral describes it as "partial 16S ribosomal RNA". It matches the Rfam family "Bacterial small subunit ribosomal RNA", at positions 524 to 776 of the family's 1533-position model. The record is from RNAcentral.